This 253-nucleotide ribosomal RNA is filed under the name uncultured bacterium. Its description in RNAcentral is "partial 16S ribosomal RNA". It matches the Rfam family "Bacterial small subunit ribosomal RNA", at positions 335 to 602 of the family's 1533-position model. The record is from RNAcentral.
GUUCCUACGGGAGGCAGCAGUGGGGAAUAUUGGACAAUGGGGGGAACCCUGAUCCAGCGACGCCGCGUGAGUGAAGAAGUAUUUCGGUAUGUAAAGCUCUAUCAGCAGGGAAGAAAGAAAUGACGGUACCUGAAUAAGAAGCCCCGGCUAACUACGUGCCAGCAGCCGCGGUAAUACGUAGGCGGCAAGCGUUAUCCGGAUUUACUGGGUGUAAAGUGAGCGUAGACGGCGGUGCAUGUCUGUAUUGAUAUGC